This 253-nucleotide ribosomal RNA is filed under the name uncultured bacterium. RNAcentral describes it as "partial 16S ribosomal RNA". It matches the Rfam family "Bacterial small subunit ribosomal RNA", at positions 524 to 776 of the family's 1533-position model. The record is from RNAcentral.
UACGUACGGUGCGAACGUUAUUCGGAAUCACUGGGCUUAAAGGGUGCGUAGGCGGCUCAGAAAGUUGGGUGUGAAAUCCCUCGGCUCAACCGAGGAACUGCGCCCAAAACUACUGGGCUGGAGGAAGAUAGAGGUGAGCGGAACUCACGGUGGAGCGGUGAAAUGCGUUGAUAUCGUGAGGAACACCGGUGGCGAAAGCGGCUCACUGGGUCUUUUCUGACGCUGAAGCACGAAAGCUAGGGGAGCGAACGGG